UCAACCAUGGGUGCUGCUAAUCUU
This 24-nucleotide non-coding RNA is filed under the name Arabidopsis thaliana (thale cress). Lineage: Eukaryota; Viridiplantae; Streptophyta; Magnoliopsida; Brassicales; Brassicaceae. The record is from RNAcentral.